RNAcentral lists this non-coding RNA (46 nucleotides) under Schistosoma margrebowiei. The record is from RNAcentral. Lineage: Eukaryota; Metazoa; Platyhelminthes; Trematoda; Strigeidida; Schistosomatidae.
AUCCAGCUGACGAGUUCCAAAAUAGGACGAACCGCGCGCCCUGGAU